GGGGGUGAUCGGUUUCGACUUGCGGCGGAUGUCUGCAGGGGAAGCGGGUCGAGGGUCCGAGGGCAGCUCGUUAACGCUCCUCGGAAAAAAUCAAGUGCCAACUCUAAUCGCACUUCCUUUGCUCUUGCCGCUUAAUCGGUAAUCAAAGCGUCAGCCCGGAUGCGCCUUCGGUCCGGUGUCUGGCGUGGUCUAGAAGGCUUGCUGCAGCGGGGGCGUCUCAUCGUCGCUGCGGGACUUUUAUGAGGCUGGGCCUGUCCAGGGACUAGUUGGCGAGCAACCUGGAGGCCGAGAAAAACGACCAGCCAACUGCACCCGGAGAAUACCUACAGGUCCUCGUAAGGACACGGGUUCAAUUCCCGUCACCUCCACGU
Molecule: transfer-messenger RNA, 371 nt
Filed under: Propionibacteriaceae bacterium
Lineage: Bacteria; Bacillati; Actinomycetota; Actinomycetes; Propionibacteriales; Propionibacteriaceae
Rfam family: transfer-messenger RNA
About the family: Bacterial tmRNA, also known as 10Sa RNA or SsrA, is named for its dual tRNA and mRNA-like properties. Its role is to liberate the mRNA from a stalled ribosome.
Source: RNAcentral